This 234-nucleotide long non-coding RNA is filed under the name Homo sapiens (human). RNAcentral's name for it is "HSALNT0063405". The record is from RNAcentral. Lineage: Eukaryota; Metazoa; Chordata; Mammalia; Primates; Hominidae.
AGUUGUAAGCAAAUAUUAUAGCAAAAGCAGCCUUAAGUAGGUUUUUGAAGAACUGACAAAAAAAGACAAAAUGUAACCAAAGCUCACCAGACCACAGAAGGAGUCAUCAUUGAGUUGGAAAGCAGAUUCUGGGUAUCCUGAAAUCACAAUUGGGGCGACCCCCAGCACAUGACAACAGCAGCCUUUGAUCCUACUUUGAGUUAAUUUCUGGGCUUUUAAUCAAAUCUUACACAA